GACGAACGCUGGCGGCGUGCUUAACACAUGCAAGUCGAACGGAAAGGCCCUGCUUUUGUGGGGUGCUCGAGUGGCGAACGGGUGAGUAACAAGUGAGUAACCUGCCCUUGACUUUGGGAUAACUUCAGGAAACUGGGGCUAAUACCGGAUAGGAGCUCCUGCUGCAUGGUGGGGGUUGGAAAGUUUCGGCGGUUGGGGAUGGACUCGCGGCUUAUCAGCUUGUUGGUGGGGUAGUGGCUUACCAAGGCUUUGACGGGUAGCCGGCCUGAGAGGGUGACCGGCCACAUUGGGACUGAGAUACGGCCCAGACUCCUACUGGAGGCAGCAGUGGGGAAUAUUGCACAAUGGGCGGAAGCCUGAUGCAGCAACGCCGCGUGCGGGAUGACGGCCUUCGGGUUGUAAACCGCUUUCGCCUGUGACGAAGCGUGAGUGACGGUAAUGGGUAAAGAAGCACCGGCUAACUACGUG
RNAcentral lists this ribosomal RNA (468 nucleotides) under uncultured bacterium. RNAcentral's name for it is "partial 16S ribosomal RNA". It matches the Rfam family "Bacterial small subunit ribosomal RNA", at positions 28 to 507 of the family's 1533-position model. The record is from RNAcentral.